AUUCACAGAAAAGGGAUACUGCACAGGAGAACUACACCAAGCGGAGAUUGCGGUUUAUGCGUUGCGUUUUACGUACGACAGAUUUGACUUCAGAGGAAGAACAUCAGAAGAAGGAGAGGCUACAGAAGGAUUGCUAGCGGUUUCUGCAAUAACCCUGCAGCUUCAAAGAUGACAUGCUCGUGAUGCCUCUGUGCAUUCCAGAGGCCCACCUUGGCAGCUAGAGGAGAGGUCGGCCUCCGCCACCAUGACCGUGUUGCCCCGGGACGUGGCUUCCCUGGCUGUGCCCGGCCUUAUCCUCUGUUUCAUCACUCUUCCAUUUCCGACGAUUCUAUCCCAGAAUCCUC
Danio rerio (zebrafish) is the source of this 344-nucleotide non-coding RNA. Lineage: Eukaryota; Metazoa; Chordata; Actinopteri; Cypriniformes; Danionidae. The record is from Ensembl.